GCGCGAAAACUCCGCAAUGGGCGAAAGCCCGACGGGGUUACCCCGAGUGCCACCCUCGUGGUGGCUUUUGCCCGCUCUAAAAAGGCGGGCGAAUAAGGGGAGGGCAAGUCGGGUGUCAGCCGCCGCGGUAAUACCCGCUCCCCGAGGGGUGGAGGCUAUUACUGGGCCUAAAGCGCCCGUAGCCGGCCCGGUGUGUCCCUCGUUAAAUCCACGGGCUUAACCCGUGGGCUGCGGGGGAUACUACCGGGC
This 249-nucleotide ribosomal RNA is filed under the name uncultured Nitrososphaerota archaeon. RNAcentral's name for it is "uncultured thaumarchaeote partial 16S ribosomal RNA". It matches the Rfam family "Archaeal small subunit ribosomal RNA", at positions 339 to 592 of the family's 1478-position model. Lineage: Archaea; Thermoproteati; Nitrososphaerota. The record is from RNAcentral.